This 451-nucleotide ribosomal RNA is filed under the name uncultured bacterium. RNAcentral's name for it is "partial 16S ribosomal RNA". It matches the Rfam family "Bacterial small subunit ribosomal RNA", at positions 29 to 523 of the family's 1533-position model. The record is from RNAcentral.
AGCGAACGCUGGCGGCAGGCCUAACACAUGCAAGUCGAGCGGCCGUAGCAAUACGGCAGCGGCAGACGGGAGAGUAACACGUGGGAACGUACCUUUCAGUUCGGAACAACCCAGGGAAACUUGGGCUAAUACCGGAUACGCCCGUAAGGGGAAAGAUUUAUCGCUGAAAGAUCGGCCCGCGUCUGAUUAGCUAGUUGGUGAGGUAAUGGCUCACCAAGGCGACGAUCAGUAGCUGGUCUGAGAGGAUGAUCAGCCUCACUGGGACUGAGACACGGCCCAGACUCCUACGGGAGGCAGCAGUGGGGAAUAUUGGACAAUGGGCGCAAGCCUGAUCCAGCCAUGCCGCGUGGAUGAUGAAGGCCCUAGGGUUGUAAAGUCCUUUCGGCGGGGAAGAUAAUGACGGUACCCGCAGAAGAAGCCCCGGCUAACUUCGUGCCAGCCGCCGCAGUAA